This 1726-nucleotide long non-coding RNA is filed under the name Cercocebus atys (sooty mangabey). RNAcentral's name for it is "lncRNA (ENSCATG00000045559.1)". Lineage: Eukaryota; Metazoa; Chordata; Mammalia; Primates; Cercopithecidae. The record is from RNAcentral.
AUGGGGCUCUCCUGGGCAGAAGCUAAGAGCCACCAUUUGUUCACCAUGCGCUCAUUUCCUGUCUCUCUGACAGGCUGCCAUGCUCCAGUUUGUAGGUGUCCAUCCACCUGUGAAGGGCUGAGCCAAGUCCUGGGCAUGGGGCUUCAUCUCCUGUGUCAAUUCAGGCAAGAGGAAGAGAGAGGAGGAAGCUUCCAGAUCCAAGCCAGAGGAGGUGGAUGCAGCACCCAUCGCCCAGAGCUUUGGGGCCUGGCCCAGCCUCUACCUGGCCGAGACACCCAACCCCAACCCCACCCACUUGGGCAUGCAGAAGAGUCUGAGACGGUGCACACUGACCCGCGGCAGAGUUACAGGCUUUCAGUCAGUGUCCUCCGAGACUCCGGGCCAGCAAGGAGGAAAGCGUCCUCAGCCUCAGUGGCAGAUGUGGAAAUGAAUGAUUUGCUGGAAAACACAGAGCUAGUGGAUGGUGGGGCCGAGAUCUGAACCUUCGUCAGGUUGAGUUCGCCAUGUGUGACUUUUUGUUCUAUGACACUGCUGCCUGUGUGUGGGCAGCACCGUUGCCUCCCCAGGCUCCGGGUCACAAGUGGGUACAAGGAUGAGCCCAGGGGACCUGUGCAAGGUGAGCAGGUAGCACUCAAGGUCAGCACCUAACGUCCCCCUGCCUGCUGGAGGGGGUGUGUCCAUGACCCACCGUCUGUGGCUCCCGUCCAGCCUCUGGCGUGUGGGGGCCCUCCGUGGUUUCUUUAGGUCUGUAACCGUCUUUCAGGCCAGCCCACUCUGAGCGACCAGGGUUCCUCCUACACAGAUCAUAAUUUCAGUCCUAGAGUCUCAUUCCCAAGAAAUAUCGUUUAGGACCCCAAGGAACUUUUAACUCACUCAGCCUUUCUUGGAGCCAGUAAAUGCAAAUAGCUAGCGAUGAAUUCCUCAAGUUAUCCGGGAUAAAUGAUGGCUCUGGAAAUGAUCUCUCUCUUAAGAGCUGUGGAAAUUGGUGCAGUUUGAAGGGAGUCUGAGUUUCUGAGUCUGUCCUUGCAGCACGUCCCCUGGAAUGAGGUUUGUGCUCUGCGUGCGUUCAUGUUUUAGAGUAGAAGAGAAGCAACACCGAAUUAAAGCAUGUUACGUCUAUGCCUAAUACACAGAUUACCAAUAAAUAAUAGGCAGUUUAUGUGCCCCGCGAGCAGGCAUUUCAGAGGAGGAAAGAGGUACCGCCUCGCGGUGGGGGAGGACACCUGGGCAGGCAACACGGAGCUGGUGCUAACCCCUUGCCUUCCAGACAGAGUCAGUCUCAACCGCGAAAGUGAGUUGACCUGCCCUCCACUCUGCUCCGCGUGUGGGCUGAUUGCUGGGUGUUUCCACUCCAGGCCACCCUGCUGACCUGUCCUUCCGGAACCUGGUCACCACCAAACCAUCUUCCCAGCAAGGCUUUCUAAAGGGAGUUCUUAGAAUGUGGGAUCAACAGCACAGAAAUGAGAACCCAUACAACAAUAGGGAACCAGCGAGACACGGACCUGGUUUUUGAAGCCGGAAUGUGAAUUAAGCUCAAUUUGGACGGCCUCGCUCGAGAUGCAGUAACUCUAAAUUAGCUCUAAAGGAAGGACGGGUGGCUGAGAUUGAUGCUCGCGCCUAAGACGUAAACCGCGCUUAUUGGACGGCCCGAGAAGAAUAGAUGUUUUAUCUCCCCCUUACAGGAAACAGCCCAUUAAUAGAGGAGCGUUUAUUGUCACUUCCUGAG